GGUUUAAUUCGAUGAUACGCGAGGAACCUUACCCGGGCUUAAAUUGCAGUGGAAUGAUGUGGAAACAUGUCAGUGAGCAAUCACCGCUGUGAAGGUGCUGCAUGGUUGUCGUCAGCUCGUGCCGUGAGGUGUCGGCUUAAGUGCCAUAACGAGCGCAACCCUUAUCUUCAGUUACUAACAGGUCAUGCUGAGGACUCUGGAGAGACUGCCGUCGUAAGAUGUGAGGAAGGUGGGAUGACG
This 240-nucleotide ribosomal RNA is filed under the name uncultured bacterium. Its description in RNAcentral is "partial 16S ribosomal RNA". It matches the Rfam family "Bacterial small subunit ribosomal RNA", at positions 943 to 1184 of the family's 1533-position model. The record is from RNAcentral.